UGGGAAGCAUGCUUUCUGCAGUCAAGCCAGUUAGACUCGAAAUAUUUGAAUUUAACAAGUCUAUAUCGAAAUAUUUGCAUUUAGCAUGGCGUUGAGAAUUUUAAAGUGCAUAUUAUCCAGUGAUUAUUAUGAUAGAUGACUUGAACUUAAUUGUAAAUGCUCAUUUGAGGAAACACAUGUCUGAACAGGGUGACUAGGCCGCAUGGGCGAGGAAAAUGUGGAGACCCAAUGAUUGAUAUCUAAUCAAUCUUACCCUUUGAGGUGGCUACACACGUGGACAGAGGGUGGUGCACAUUAUACUACAUGACGGAACUGGCUUUAGUGUGGAUGGAUCCCCUGGAGAAACACAAGGAUGGGACUACAACAUGGCUGCUGUAACUUACAAGGUGACCUCAUGGCUCAUUAAUUAAUGUUCC
Scomber scombrus (Atlantic mackerel) is the source of this 416-nucleotide long non-coding RNA. RefSeq lists it as uncharacterized. The record is from RefSeq and is a predicted model, not a curated record. The transcript has 4 exons. Lineage: Eukaryota; Metazoa; Chordata; Actinopteri; Scombriformes; Scombridae.